This 497-nucleotide ribosomal RNA is filed under the name uncultured bacterium. RNAcentral's name for it is "partial 16S ribosomal RNA". It matches the Rfam family "Bacterial small subunit ribosomal RNA", at positions 28 to 507 of the family's 1533-position model. The record is from RNAcentral.
GAUGAACGCUGGCGGCGUGCCUAAUACAUGCAAGUCGAGCGAACGGACGAGAAGCUUGCUUCUCUGAUGUUAGCGGCGGACGGGUGAGUAACACGUGGAUAACCUACCUAUAAGACUGGGAUAACUUCGGGAAACCGGAGCUAAUACCGGAUAAUAUUUUGAACCGCAUGGUUCAAAAGUGAAAGACGGUCUUGCUGUCACUUAUAGAUGGAUCCGCGCUGCAUUAGCUAGUUGGUAAGGUAACGGCUUACCAAGGCAACGAUGCAUAGCCGACCUGAGAGGGUGAUCGGCCACACUGGAACUGAGACACGGUCCAGACUCCUACGGGAGGCAACAGUAGGGAAUCUUCCGCAAUGGGCGAAAGCCUGACGGAGCAACGCCGCGUGAGUGAUGAAGGUCUUCGGAUCGUAAAACUCUGUUAUUAGGGAAGAACAUAUGUGCAAGUAACUGUGCACAUCUUGACGGUACCUAAUCAGAAAGCCACGGCUAACUACGUG